Molecule: ribosomal RNA, 496 nt
Filed under: uncultured bacterium
Lineage: Bacteria
Description: partial 16S ribosomal RNA
Rfam family: Bacterial small subunit ribosomal RNA
Source: RNAcentral
GAUGAACGCUGGCGGCGUGCCUAAUACAUGCAAGUCGAGCGAACAGACGAGGAGCUUGCUCCUUUGACGUUAGCGGCGGACGGGUGAGUAACACGUGGAUAACCUACCUAUAAGACUGGGAUAACUUCGGGAAACCGGAGCUAAUACCGGAUAACAUGUUGAACCGCAUGGUUCAACAGUGAAAGACGGUCUUGCUGUCACUUAUAGAUGGAUCCGCGCCGCAUUAGCUAGUUGGUAAGGUAACGGCUUACCAAGGCAACGAUGCGUAGCCGACCUGAGAGGGUGAUCGGCCACACUGGAACUGAGACACGGUCCAGACUCCUACGGGAGGCAGCAGUAGGGAAUCUUCCGCAGUGGGCGAAAGCCUGACGGAGCAACGCCGCGUGAGUGAAGAAGGUCUUCGGAUCGUAAAACGCUGUUAUUAGGGAAGAACAAAUGUGUAAGUAACUAUGCACGUCUUGACGGUACCUAAUCAGAAAGCCACGACUAACUACGU